UUUUUUUUUUUUUUUUUUUUUUUUUUUUUUUUCUACUA
This 38-nucleotide non-coding RNA is filed under the name Prorocentrum micans. The record is from RNAcentral. Lineage: Eukaryota; Dinophyceae; Prorocentrales; Prorocentraceae.